UACGGGGGGGCAAGCGUUGUUCGGAAUUACUGGGCGUAAAGGGCUCGUAGGCGGCCAACUAAGUCGGAUGUGAAAUCCCCAGGCUUAACCUGGGAAUUGCAUCCGAUACUGGAUGGCUUGAAUCCGGGAGAGGGAUGCGGAAUUCCAGGUGUAGCGGUGAAAUGCGUAGAUAUCUGGAGGAACACCGGUGGCGAAGGCGGCAUCCUGGACCGGCAUUGACGCUGAGGAGCGAAAGCCAGGGGAGCAAACGGG
Molecule: ribosomal RNA, 252 nt
Filed under: uncultured bacterium
Lineage: Bacteria
Description: partial 16S ribosomal RNA
Rfam family: Bacterial small subunit ribosomal RNA
Source: RNAcentral